UUCCAAUGGAGAACUGGAGGUGGACACCCAUUCUUUUGGAGUCGCGUUGCGAAAGUAAUGCACAGAAAGAGUUUCUUAACCUCUGAAUCCCAACAUCUUCAUAUCCAAAAGCUUCGAGUCCACGCCUUCCAAGUUGACCAAGAAGAGUAGUAAUAGCAGCAGCAUUGUGCUCUGUUGAACAAUAUUCCAAUAAAUCCAAUAGUGGACAUGCAAUUUUGUCAAACAUCCAAUCCCAGCUCAUGAAACCUGCAACUAGCUCCAUCAGUGCAAGGGUAUCAAUGAACUGGCUUGAAUCCCUCAAAGUAACAUAUGCCCACUGUACUAAAUCUACAUUAUCUGUGGAUUCCUCAUUUUUCUUUCCAUCACAUUUCAUUCCAUGUCUUGAUGAGUUCAAUGAUUCCAUCAAAUCCAACCCCACAG
Molecule: unclassified non-coding RNA, 420 nt
Filed under: Hevea brasiliensis (rubber tree)
Lineage: Eukaryota; Viridiplantae; Streptophyta; Magnoliopsida; Malpighiales; Euphorbiaceae
Source: RNAcentral